UUUUUUUUUCCUAAAGGGAGAGCUUUAUUUAUUUUAGUUGGAAGAAAACUAAUGAAGGUCACAUCCCUUAUGGACUUUCAGUUAAUUCCAAAGGAAUUUCUCCCAGUGUCACCUCAAUGAUCUGCAGCCAAACGCGACUCCCAGGAAACAUCACAAACUGAAUUAGUUUUGAAGUUAAGAUGUCUUUGAGCUUCGUGGUUAAAUGUUUUCUUCAAAAUAAUAUAUAUUUGGUAAGUUUGUCUGAUAUUUUUUAAGCAAAUAGUUCUUCACUUUCUCAAUUUUAUUUAGUAUGUGCACUGUUAAAGUCAG
Molecule: non-coding RNA, 309 nt
Organism: Coturnix japonica (Japanese quail)
Lineage: Eukaryota; Metazoa; Chordata; Aves; Galliformes; Phasianidae
Source: RefSeq, a predicted model, not a curated record